UCGCCCUUAGAGUUUGAUCCUGGCUCAGGAUGAACGCUAGCGGCACGCUUCAUACAUUCAAGUCGAGGGGCAGCAUAAAUUACUUGUAAUUUGAUGGCGACCGGCGAAGCGGGUGCGUAACGCGUAUGCAACUUACCUUUUACUAGAGAAUAGCCAAGAGAAAUUUUGAUUAAUGCUCUAUACUCUUAUUAACUCACAUGAGUUUUUAAGAAAAGCUCCGGCGGUAAAAGAUGGGCACGCGUCCUAUUAGCUUGUAGGUGAGGUAACGGCUCACCUAAGCUCCGAUAGGUAGGGGUCCUGAGAGGGAGAUCCCCCACACUGGUACUGAGACACGGACCAGACUUCUACGGAAGGCAGCAGUAAGGAAUAUUUUUCAAKGGAGGAAACUGUAAUCUAGCGAUGCCGCGUGAAGGAAGACGGCCCUAUGGGUUGU
RNAcentral lists this ribosomal RNA (433 nucleotides) under uncultured marine bacterium. RNAcentral describes it as "bacterial SSU rRNA". It matches the Rfam family "Bacterial small subunit ribosomal RNA", at positions 1 to 426 of the family's 1533-position model. The record is from RNAcentral.